Molecule: ribosomal RNA, 426 nt
Filed under: uncultured bacterium
Lineage: Bacteria
Description: partial 16S ribosomal RNA
Rfam family: Bacterial small subunit ribosomal RNA
Source: RNAcentral
GUGAGGAAUUUUCCGCAAUGGGCGAAAGCCUGACGGAGCAAUGCCGCGUGAAGGAUGAAGGCCUAUGGGUUGUAAACUUCUUUUCUCAGAAAAGAAUUAUGACGGUAUCUGAGGAAUAAGCAUCGGCUAACUCUGUGCCAGCAGCCGCGGUAAGACAGAGGAUGCAAGCGUUAUCCGGAAUGAUUGGGCGUAAAGCGUCUGUAGGUUGUUUAAAAAGUAUUCUGUCAAAGAUUAGGGCUUAACCCUAGAUAGGCAGAAUAAACUUUUAAGCUAGAGUUUGGUAGAGGCGGAGGGAAUUCCCGGUGGAGCGGUGAAAUGCGUAGAUAUCGGGAGGAACACCAAAGGCGAAGGCACUCUGCUGGGCCAAUACUAACACUGAGAGACGAAAGCGAGGGGAGCAAAUGGGAUUAGAUACCCGAGUAGUCC